GACGAACGCUGGCGGCGUGCUUAACACAUGCAAGUCGAACGGAAAGGCCCUGCUUUUGUGGGGUGCUCGAGUGGCGAACGGGUGAGUAACACGUGAGUAACCUGCCCUUGACUUUGGGAUAACUUCAGGAAACUGGGGCUAAUACCGGAUAGGAGCUCCUGCUGCAUGGUGGGGGUUGGAAAGUUUCGGCGGUUGGGGAUGGACUCGCGGCUUAUCAGCUUGUUGGUGGGGUAGUGGCUUACCAAGGCUUUGACGGGUAGCCGGCCUGAGAGGGUGACCGGCCACAUUGGGACUGAGAUACGGCCCAGACUCCUACGGGAGGCAGCAGUGGGGAAUAUUGCACAAUGGGCGGAAGCCUGAUGCAGCAACGCCGCGUGCGGGAUGACGGCCUUCGGGUUGUAAACCGAUUUCGCCUGUGACGAAGCGUGAGUGACGGUAAUGGGUAAAGAAGCACAGGCUAACUACGUG
This 468-nucleotide ribosomal RNA is filed under the name uncultured bacterium. RNAcentral's name for it is "partial 16S ribosomal RNA". It matches the Rfam family "Bacterial small subunit ribosomal RNA", at positions 28 to 507 of the family's 1533-position model. The record is from RNAcentral.